This 552-nucleotide ribosomal RNA is filed under the name Wijayarana javana (Java torrent frog). RNAcentral describes it as "partial 16S ribosomal RNA". It matches the Rfam family "Bacterial large subunit ribosomal RNA", at positions 1817 to 2597 of the family's 2925-position model. The record is from RNAcentral. Lineage: Eukaryota; Metazoa; Chordata; Amphibia; Anura; Ranidae.
CGCCUCUUGUUAAGAUAUAANAGGUCCAGCCUGCCCAGUGACCUAGUUCAACGGCCGCGGUACCCUAACCGUGCGAAGGUAGCAUAAUCACUUGUCCUUUAAAUAGGGACUUGUAUCAACGGCACCACGAGGGCUUCACUGUCUCCUCUCUCCAAUCAGUGAAACUGAUCCUCCCGUGAAGAAGCGGAAAUAAACCUAUAAGACGAGAAGACCCCAUGGAGCUUAAGACCAAUCAUGCACCUUAUUACCCCUUAAAUCAUCUUAUGUUAAAAUCCUGCAUGAUAGCCUUAGGUUGGGGAGACCACGGAGUAUAACUCAACCUCCAUGACAAACGGACCAAAUCCUUAUCCACGAGCUACACCUCUAAGAAUUAAUAAAUUAAUGUUAAUGACCCAAUUAUUUGAUUAACGAACCAAGUUACCCUGGGGAUAACAGCGCAAUCUACUUCAAGAGCCCCUAUCGACAAGUAGGUUUACGACCUCGAUGUUGGAUCAGGGUAUCCUGGUGGUGCAACCGCUACCAAAGGUUCGUUUGUUCAACGAUUAAAACCCU